UCUGUACCACCCUGAAGGUACCCAAUCUCAUCUGAUCUUGGAAGCUAAGCAGAGUUGGGUCUGAUUAGCAUUUGGAUGGGAAACAGAUUCAAAUUUAUGAACAAAA
This is a ribosomal RNA of Cavia aperea (Brazilian guinea pig), 106 nucleotides long. The record is from Ensembl. Lineage: Eukaryota; Metazoa; Chordata; Mammalia; Rodentia; Caviidae.